Molecule: ribosomal RNA, 393 nt
Filed under: Chroococcales cyanobacterium enrichment culture clone AN1
Lineage: Bacteria; Bacillati; Cyanobacteriota; Cyanophyceae; Chroococcales
Description: bacterial SSU rRNA
Rfam family: Bacterial small subunit ribosomal RNA
Source: RNAcentral
AAUCUUCUUCAAUGGGCGCAAGCCUGACCGAGCGACGCCGCGUGGAGGACGAAGGCCUUCGGGUUGUAAACUCCUGUCGAGGGGGAGAAAGGGCUCCGUGCAGAGCGGCGUUUGAUCGAUUCCUCGUAGGAGGUAAGCACUGGGGCUAAGUUCGUGCCCAGCCAGCCGCGGUAAGACCGAGACCGAUGCGAACGUUAAUCGGAAUCACUGGGGUUAAAGCGCGUGUAGGGGGAUCUGCGGCAAUUCCGCCCCUGAAUUCCCCCGGCUCAACCGGGGAAUGUCGCUCGGAUACUGGCGCAGGUCUGGAGGGAGCGUAGGGGCGGUACGUGGAAUCUUCCGGUGGAGCGGUGAAAUGCGUAUGAGAUCGGAAGGAACGCCACAGUGGCGAAAGCG